This 301-nucleotide ribosomal RNA is filed under the name uncultured bacterium. Its description in RNAcentral is "partial 16S ribosomal RNA". It matches the Rfam family "Bacterial small subunit ribosomal RNA", at positions 509 to 807 of the family's 1533-position model. The record is from RNAcentral.
CAGCCGCCGCGGUAAUACGAGGGGGGCAAGCGUUGUUCGGAAUUAUUGGGCGUAAAGGGUGCGUAGGCGGUUUGGCAAGUCUUAUGUGAAAUCUUCGGGCUCAACCCGAAGUCUGCAUGAGAAACUGCCGGGCUUGAGUACGGGAGAGGUGAGUGGAAUUUCCGGUGUAGCGGUGAAAUGCGUAGAUAUCGGAAGGAACACCUGUGGCGAAAGCGGCUCACUGGAUCAUAACUGACGCUGAGGCACGAAAGCUAGGGGAGCAAACAGGAUUAGAUACCCGCGUAGUCCCUGUCUCUUAUAC